CCCUGUGUCACGACUGAUGACCGAUGCCGGAGGGAGGAUCCAUGGGGACCGCGCCUAGGUUCAGGGCGGGUCUGCCUCACAUGGGGUCGAGGCGCCCGACGAGGUUGUCUUCUGGCGAUUCCACGAUGUCGUGCCCGAGCCAGCGGAUCAGCCGCUGUCAAUUUGACUCUGUUGAUUCCGUAAUUGAAUCACGAUUACAAGAGGCCAUUAAUGGCCAUGGAUGUGAGAGGCCGACGGAUAAUUGCAGGUUCUCUGAUCUCGAUCGAUUGGAUCUCGGUUUCACGGUUGGCUGAUUCUGCUGCAUUGAAAGGCGAGGCACUGCUUUCACCAUAAUGAUUUCUUGCAUGAGAAUAAUACAUGCUUAAAUGCAGCAUCUUCCAAUUGUUCAAAGUGCUAAUAGUUACAACCUGAGAUUACUUGCUCGGGUCCUUCUUUCACAAAGUACAGAGAUGACUUCAGAGUAACCAUGUUCUUUUUAGCUUUUCUAUUCUACAUAAACAACUUGAGGACGGUAUGGAUCAGGGUCUUCUGUUUGAAGGUAUUUUCCUUCACAUGUUUCAAUUUUGAAGCCCUAUUUGGGCAUGCCUCACUUUCUGGGAAUGCAAUGGUAAAGUUAUGGUAUUUUUCUAAGUGUAGUUAUAGUGUGAGAUUAUUUGUUUGGGUUCCAAAAUCUUGCACGAAGUGUAGAGUUGGCUUAGAUUAACCAUGUUCUUUUGAGCUUUUCUAUUCUAAAUAAACGACAUGAGGACGGUGAGGAUCAAUUCAUAUUUGUCCUGCUUUUGAAGUCCCUCUGUAUUGGGGAAUGCCUUGCUUUCUAGGAAUGCAAAGGUGAAGGUAGACCACUUGUAUUAAGCAAUCACAACAGUAUACAAUCAUCAGGAUUCAACUCAAUGACACCUGGGGGAUCAGAGCACAAUCAACUUAUAUUUCUACUUUCUAAGCAAGCAGAGUUUGCCAGAAAGUUGCUAACUUUAUUUUGGGAGCGCCUAACAUGAGUAAUACUAAUUAUACGAAGACUCAAGAGGUGCUU
Triticum dicoccoides is the source of this 1030-nucleotide long non-coding RNA. RefSeq lists it as uncharacterized. The transcript has 3 exons. NCBI's taxonomy places the organism in Eukaryota, Viridiplantae, Streptophyta, Magnoliopsida, Poales, Poaceae. The record is from RefSeq and is a predicted model, not a curated record.